AUGGCGCCGACGGCCUCAGUACGUCCAGCGACACGCCCGCCGGCCACCUCCCGCGCUUCUAUUAACCGCAGCCGGAAGCCGAGCGGCAGAGGGGGCAGCCUGGCUUCCGGACUGGCGGCGGCCUGCGCGGCAGGUGUGUGGCUGCGCGCUGGCGCCGCAGGGCGGGGCGCUGUAACCCCUGGAGAGCCCGUCGCGGGAGCGCAAGGAGCUGGACGGACUCUGGAGCUUCCGCGCCUACUUCUCCGACGACCGGCGCCAGGACUUCCAGGAGCAGUGGUAGCGGCCGCUGCUGCGGCUGGAGCGCAGUGGCGCAAUCCUAACUUGGCCCUCGAGAAGUCGGCGGAGGCGUCGGCGGCAGUGGCCCUGGCCAGCCCGGCCCGGCCACAGGGAGGUCAGCUGCUGCGACGGCGGCCCCGGCCCGGCCGGCGGGAAGUCAGCGGAGGCGGCGGCGGCGCGGUCAGAGUGAGUUUCUUUGGAGAAGCCGUGGUGGCUUCAACGUGAUGGUGGAGGACGAGACAGGUCUCUGCGGCUUUUCUGGGUUUGCCUGCCCAGCUACUCCAUGCCACGAGAAGGAAGAGCUAUCUGCUGCAUGCUGGAUGCUGGAGCCUGGAGCCUGUGGCACCACGGCUUGCCUCGUUGCAGUGGGUGGCAGCGAGGGAGACUGCACAGCGCUGGAGAGGUAGGAGCAUGGCUGGCUGCCACCAGGGCAGGGACGGGUGCAGAGGUGGCCAGGUGGCAGCCUCUGAGGCGACCUUGGUCCCUGGGUCCCCCCCCUGCUGUUUAUGGCAGGCAGAGCUGGGGUUGCCACUGCUUCUGAUGUGCCAUGUGCAGGUGGCAGCUACAGUUGUGCUGUAGGGUGGCAGUGCUGGUUUCUGUUCUUCUGUUCCUCUUUGUCCCUGGUCCAGGGCGCUGGUUACCCUAUAGCCACUGGGAUGGGGCUGGGCACCAGUUCCAGUCCUCCUCCUGCUACGGGGCCUGAUUUAGGCCCCGCAGCAGGUUCUGGCCCUUAGGUCCGCGUUGCUGGAGGAAGCGGGCAGGAUCAGGGGUUGCCACCACGCUGCCGAAUGCUAUCUCUAAAUGGCAGGUGCAGCAGAAUGCACAGGAGGCUGCAGGGCUGGUCUCAGACAGCCUGGGAGUCGCCCAGGGCACCUCCCCGCACCCUAAGAUCUGUGCUUCCUUGGCCCAAACCCAGAGUGUGGGGUCGCGGGCUCUGGGCCCACUGCAGCACCCAGGUUGAGUCUGAGCGCCGGUUUUCAUCACCCUGUAGCUGCACUACCAACUGCCUAAGUUGGGCACCAUGGUGACAUCUGUCCCUGGGAUUCCUGCUGCUGGUGGGGGAGGACAGGGCCAGGGGUUGCCACUGAUACUGACUUGUGCCAUUUCCAGGUUGCAGCUGUGGCUGAGCCCAUGGCAGAGUCUUGCGGGGCUGCUUCCUAAGGGCGUGGAGGUCAGGGAGUGUACCGCCAUCCUACCCUAGGGUCCACUUUUCCUUAGGCCUGGCCCAGAGCACAGGUUUGCAGGUGCUGGGCACUGUGCAGCCACAGAGUUGUGACUGAGAGCCUCCUGCCCUCCCGCACCUGCGGGCUGACUGUGGCAGUAUCCGGUCCUGGGUUCCAUGCUACUGGAGUCAAUGUCCAGGGAUGCCACCGCUGCUGCCCCAUGCCAUGUGUAGGUUGCUGCGGCAGCUGAUCCCAGACCAGAGGCUGUCAGAGCUGGUCCCAGAUAGCCUAAGGGUCGCCUAGUGCACCAGCCAAAGGGUCCGUUCUUUCUUGGCCCACACCCAGAGUGAGGAUUGCAGGCUCUGGGCACUGCACCACUGGCAUGGGGAGACAAGUGGUGGGGGGCUUCCUUACCUGCUCCACACAAAGCCCAGGUUGUCAGGAGUCAGCUCUCUCUCCAGCAUGCCCCAGUCUCAUCCUUGGUCAGCCCAGAGCACAGAGGCACAGAGCCCCAGUCUCAUCCUUGGUCAGCCCAGAGCACAGAGGCCCACUCAGUCCUGACUCCAUAUCUUAUACCAGGUAGGCACAGAGGCACAGAGCCUCAGCAGCUUUGUCUGUGGCUGGGUUAAACUGGUGCCCGCCUCAUCUUGACCAUCUGCCCAAGUGGGCACAGCCUCCAGCGUUGCUUCCCAGACAGCUCCAGGGUGCUUCCUCCCUGGCCCCUUCUUCGGACUCCCAGUCCCAACAGCAAACCACCCCCACCCCAGGCAGCACAUCUGUUGCCCGUGGGGCACUUACUGCUUGGCCUCCCAAAGUGCUGGGAUUACAGGCGUGAGCCUCUGCGCCCAGCCUGUGGGAACUGUUUUAAAUGUCGGCUGAGAAGAGGAAACAUUGAAAAGUGGCAGGGAAACAGCAUUUCCUGACCGCACACCCCACACCAGGCAUGUAUCAAAAGCUCCGCUAGAAAAACAUGUUCAGAGAGGUCUGGUAACUUGCCUCAGGUCACACAGCAAGUGAGAGGCAGUGUGGUAGGCAAACCCAGGCCUGCUGGGCUAGUUUCUCCCCCUGUCACGUGGACCUGGGCCACCUCUCAGGCACAGCAGAAACCCACCCAGGAACACAAACCUCGAGGGCUGA
This 2576-nucleotide long non-coding RNA is filed under the name Callithrix jacchus (white-tufted-ear marmoset). RNAcentral describes it as "lncRNA (ENSCJAG00000081440.1)". Lineage: Eukaryota; Metazoa; Chordata; Mammalia; Primates; Cebidae. The record is from RNAcentral.